Molecule: ribosomal RNA, 422 nt
Filed under: uncultured bacterium
Lineage: Bacteria
Description: bacterial SSU rRNA
Rfam family: Bacterial small subunit ribosomal RNA
Source: RNAcentral
UGAGGAAUAUUGGUCAAUGGACGAGAGUCUGAACCAGCCAAAUCGCGUGAAGGAAGACUGCCCUACGGGUUGUAAACUUCUUUUGUACAGGAAUAAAAGACAUUACGUGUAAUGUAUUGCAUGUACUGUACGAAUAAGCAUCGGCUAACUCCGUGCCAGCAGCCGCGGUAAUACGGAGGAUGCGAGCGUUAUCCGGAUUUAUUGGGUUUAAAGGGUGCGCAGGCGGGAUUUUAAGUCAGCGGUGAAAUUUUCAGGCUCAACCUGAACACUGCCGUUGAAACUGGGAUUCUUGAGUAUGGAUGAAGUAGGCGGAAUUCGUUGUGUAGCGGUGACAUGCUUAGAUAUAACGAGGAACUCCGAUUGCGUAGGCAGCUUACUAAGCCAUAACUGACGCUCAAGCACGAAAGCGUGGGGAUUAAACA